RNAcentral lists this unclassified non-coding RNA (196 nucleotides) under uncultured Russula. RNAcentral describes it as "sequence contains ITS1". Lineage: Eukaryota; Fungi; Basidiomycota; Agaricomycetes; Russulales; Russulaceae. The record is from RNAcentral.
UAGUACAACCGAGGUGCGAGGGCUGUCGCUGACCUUCAAAGGGGUUGUGCACGCCCAAGCAUUCUCACACACAAUCCAUCCUCACCCCUUUGUGCAUCACCGCGCGGGCCACCUUUGCAAGGAGGGCUUGCGUUUUCACACGAAAACUUGAUACUGUGUAGAAUGUUUUUCUUUUUGCGGUCACACGCAAUCAAUA